This is a long non-coding RNA of Planococcus citri (citrus mealybug), 1232 nucleotides long. RefSeq lists it as uncharacterized. NCBI's taxonomy places the organism in Eukaryota, Metazoa, Arthropoda, Insecta, Hemiptera, Pseudococcidae. The transcript has 3 exons. The record is from RefSeq and is a predicted model, not a curated record.
AAAUUUUUCGAAAUAUUACUUUACUAUCACCUCAGCAGUGUUCACCUUCUCCAACAUCUAUGAGCGUCAUUUCGACGUAGGUUUUUCUAGGAAAAUUAUCUCUUUCAUAUAGGUACUUUUUAGAUUAGAUAAACCACAAUUUUCAACACUUCAUACAAAUAUAGAAUAAUAAUUUCAGCGUAAAACAGAGAAAGUUUUCAAAUUAGUGAAAAAGGAGGACAUUGUCUGUGCAUCAAAAUGAUUCGCUGUACAAUUUUCAUUCUCAUUUUGAGUGUAAUUCUAUGUAUAGGAUUUUUACCAGGAGUUGAUUCGACAUACGAUUUUUAUGGCAACCAUUUGGCACUGAGUAUUUACUUUUUUUGGUUCUUGGGACAAUCAAUGCAAAAAUAUCCACCAUUGUCGAAAUUUUUUUACGGAAUAGCUGAUAAGUAUUACGAAGCACUAGAGAAACAUUUUAAGGAGCAAGGAGGAUCUAGAUGAAAAAAAUAAAUAGUCCAGAAAAAUAAUAUUACCUACAUAAAUAAGUUCAGAAUGUCUAAAUAGUGGUACUGAAAUAAUUCAUAGAAUACGUAUAGAUAAAAUUAAUUUUAUCCUUUAUUUUUUAAUGUCGAAAAAGCUUGUAUUGUUCAAAUUUCGAAAUAUUAUUUUACUAUCACUACAGCAGUAUUCACUUUCUCUAACAUCUAUAUGAGCGUCAUUUCAACAUAAAAAUUUUCUAGGAAAAUUAUCUUUUUCAUAUAUUAGAUUAGAUAAACCUCAAUUUUCGACACUUCGUGCAAUCAACGUACCUAUAGAAUAAUUUCAGCGUAAAACAGAGAAAGUUUUCAAAUUAGUGAAAAAGGAGGACAUUGUCUGUGCAUCAAAAUGCUUCGCUACACAAUUUUCAUCCUCAUUUUGAGCGUUAUUCUAUACAUAGGAUUACUACCAGGAGUUGAUUCGACAUACCAUUUUUAUGGCAAUUAUUUGCAAUUUAAUGUUUACCUUUUCUGGUUCUUGGCACAAUGGACGCAAAAGUUUCCACCAUUGUCGAAAUUUUUCAUCAAAAUAUCUAAAAAGUUUCUCAAAGCAUAUUAUAAGGCUCCAUCUUAAGGAUCAAGAAGGAUCUUAGUGAAAAAAAUAUAAAUAUUUCAGAAAAAUAAUAUUACAUACCUACUUAAAUAAGUUUAGAAUAUAUACCGAUCUAAAUAGUGGCCUUGAAAUUUAUACUUACAUAGAAUACGUAUUAAAUAGAU